GUGCCAGCCGCCGCGGUAAUACGUAGGUGGCAAGCGUUAUCCGGAAUUAUUGGGCGUAAAACGCGCGCAGGUGGUUUCUUAAGUCUGAUGUGAAGGCCCACGGCUCAACCGUGGAGGGUCAUUGGAAACUGGGCGACUUGAGUGCAGAAGAGGAAAGUGGAAUUCCAUGUGUAGCGGUGAAAUGCGUAGCGAUACGGGGGAAAACCAGUGGCGAAGGCGACUUUCUGGUAGG
Molecule: ribosomal RNA, 232 nt
Filed under: uncultured bacterium
Lineage: Bacteria
Description: partial 16S rRNA
Rfam family: Bacterial small subunit ribosomal RNA
Source: RNAcentral